UAGCUCAGGAUGUGAAUCUGCGCUUUUAAGGCGCCGAAUUGUGGUCUGUAGACUUUGAUGUUAUCUGCCGGGCCAAGUUCCUUGGAAAAGGACAGCUGAGAGGGUGAGACUCCCGUCCGCCUGGUAGAAUGAAUCAUGUGUCAACGAGUCGAGUUGUUUGGGAUUGCAGCUCUAAUUUGGUGGUAAAUUCCAUCUAAAGCUAAAUAUUGGUGGGAGACCGAUAGCGUACAAGUACCGUGAGGGAAAGAUGCAAAGAACUUUGAAAAGAGAGUUAAAGAGUACCUGAAAUUGCUGAAACGGAAGCGAAGGAAACCAGUGUUUGUUGGUUCAUAUUUCCCUGACCACUUGUGGUUUGGGCGCUGUGAGCCUGCGUGGGUUUGUUUUGAUUGAUCCCUUUGGAAGAGCGCAUACAGAGUUGAUGUCUGUUGCUAGCACUGGGUUUGAUUGAUGCUUACCAAAUGGUUUUCUUUACCCCGUCUUGAAACACGGACCAAGGAGUCUAACAUAUGUGCGAGUACAGGGGUGUCAAACCCCGGUGCGUAAUGAAAGUGACAGUGGUUGGAUAUUUUGCACAAUCCGCCGGCCUCAAUCCUUCGGGAGAACGGUCUGAGUGUGAGCAUACAUGUUGGGACCCGAAAGAUGGUGAACUAUGCCUGAAUAGG
Molecule: ribosomal RNA, 662 nt
Filed under: Pseudo-nitzschia sp. SB-2012
Lineage: Eukaryota; Bacillariophyta; Bacillariophyceae; Bacillariales; Bacillariaceae
Description: eukaryotic LSU rRNA
Rfam family: Eukaryotic large subunit ribosomal RNA
Source: RNAcentral